This 811-nucleotide ribosomal RNA is filed under the name Staphylococcus aureus. Its description in RNAcentral is "partial 23S ribosomal RNA". It matches the Rfam family "Bacterial large subunit ribosomal RNA", at positions 195 to 1004 of the family's 2925-position model. Lineage: Bacteria; Bacillati; Bacillota; Bacilli; Caryophanales; Staphylococcaceae. The record is from RNAcentral.
GAAACAUCUUAGUACCCGGAGGAAGAGAAAGAAAAUUCGAUUCCCUUAGUAGCGGCGAGCGAAACGGGAAGAGCCCAAACCAACAAGCUUGCUUGUUGGGGUUGUAGGACACUCUAUACGGAGUUACAAAGGACGACAUUAGACGAAUCAUCUGGAAAGAUGAAUCAAAGAAGGUAAUAAUCCUGUAGUCGAAAAUGUUGUCUCUCUUGAGUGGAUCCUGAGUACGACGGAGCACGUGAAAUUCCGUCGGAAUCUGGGAGGACCAUCUCCUAAGGCUAAAUACUCUCUAGUGACCGAUAGUGAACCAGUACCGUGAGGGAAAGGUGAAAAGCACCCCGGAAGGGGAGUGAAAUAGAACCUGAAACCGUGUGCUUACAAGUAGUCAGAGCCCGUUAAUGGGUGAUGGCGUGCCUUUUGUAGAAUGAACCGGCGAGUUACGAUUUGAUGCAAGGUUAAGCAGUAAAUGUGGAGCCGUAGCGAAAGCGAGUCUGAAUAGGGCGUUUAGUAUUUGGUCGUAGACCCGAAACCAGGUGAUCUACCCUUGGUCAGGUUGAAGUUCAGGUAACACUGAAUGGAGGACCGAACCGACUUACGUUGAAAAGUGAGCGGAUGAACUGAGGGUAGCGGAGAAAUUCCAAUCGAACCUGGAGAUAGCUGGUUCUCUCCGAAAUAGCUUUAGGGCUAGCCUCAAGUGAUGAUUAUUGGAGGUAGAGCACUGUUUGGACGAGGGGCCCCUCUCGGGUUACCGAAUUCAGACAAACUCCGAAUGCCAAUUAAUUUAACUUGGGAGUCAGAACAUGGGUGAUAAGGU